This is a long non-coding RNA of Electrophorus electricus (electric eel), 337 nucleotides long. RefSeq lists it as uncharacterized. Lineage: Eukaryota; Metazoa; Chordata; Actinopteri; Gymnotiformes; Gymnotidae. The record is from RefSeq and is a predicted model, not a curated record.
UUAUAUCAAAAUAUCAAUGAAAGGGGGACAGACGGAGGAGCUAGUAUAGAGCAGCGCUGUGUCCUUGGCAACCGUCUCUUUGGAGACCUGUGUGAUGUAAGCAUCCCAGGCAGCCUGCAUCUUUUUCAGCUCUGCGGACAGCCUUUAAAUCACCAAAAGAUUUUUAAAUUAUUAUAAUGAGACAAGCUGCAAAUCUAACUACUUUGGAACAGCAAUGGGUUUGGAUUCAUCACUCAUCAUUAUUGGGACAGAGGGAUAUUUGUUUGGCUGUAAACAUUAUUUCACAUGAGCAGACGUAUUAAAUGGACGUGCGUUUGUUGGUGAGGGUGUAGCAGGA